This 48-nucleotide non-coding RNA is filed under the name Trichobilharzia regenti. The record is from RNAcentral. Lineage: Eukaryota; Metazoa; Platyhelminthes; Trematoda; Strigeidida; Schistosomatidae.
AUUCAACCGACGAGUCCCAAAGAGGACGAAAUACACAUUGUCUUGGAU